UACGUAGGGGGCAAGCGUUGUCCGGAAUCAUUGGGCGUAAAGAGCGUGUAGGCGGCUCGGUAAGUCCGCUCUGAAAGCCCGGGGCUCAACCCCGGGAGGCGGGCGGAUACUGUCGGGCUAGAGUCCGGAAGAGGCGAGUGGAAUUCCUGGUGUAGCGGUGAAAUGCGCAGAUAUCAGGAGGAACACCAAUGGCGAAGGCAGCUCACUGGGACGUUACUGACGCUGAGACGCGAAAGCGUGGGGAGCAAACAGG
RNAcentral lists this ribosomal RNA (253 nucleotides) under uncultured bacterium. RNAcentral's name for it is "partial 16S ribosomal RNA". It matches the Rfam family "Bacterial small subunit ribosomal RNA", at positions 524 to 776 of the family's 1533-position model. The record is from RNAcentral.